GGGGAAUAUUGGGCAAUGGGGGAAACCCUGACCCAGCAACGCCGCGUGAGGGAAGAAGGUUUUCGGAUUGUAAACCUCUGUCCUUGGUGAAGAAGGAAGUGACGGUAGCCAAGGAGGAAGCCCCGGCUAACUACGUGCCAGCAGCCGCGGUAAUACGUAGGGGGCGAGCGUUGUCCGGAAUGACUGGGCGUAAAGGGCGCGUAGGCGGCUUUUUAAGUCUGGAGUGAAAGUCCUGCUUUCAAGGUGGGAAUUGCUUUGGAAACUGGAGAGCUUGAGUGCGGAAGAGGCAAGUGGAAUUCCCAGUGUAGCGGUGAAAUGCGUAGAGAUUGGGAGGAACACCAGUGGCGAAGGCGACUUGCUGGGCCGUAACUGACGCUGAUGCGCGAAAGCGUGGGGAGCGAAC
This 403-nucleotide ribosomal RNA is filed under the name uncultured bacterium. Its description in RNAcentral is "bacterial SSU rRNA". It matches the Rfam family "Bacterial small subunit ribosomal RNA", at positions 356 to 773 of the family's 1533-position model. The record is from RNAcentral.